UGGGGAAUCUUCCGCAAUGGACGAAAGUCUGACGGAGCAACGCCGCGUGAGUGAUGACGGCCUUCGGGUUGUAAAGCUCUGUUAAUCGGGACGAAUGGUUCUUGUGCAAAUAGUGCGCGGAUUUGACGGUACCGGAAUAGAAAGCCACGGCUAACUACGUGCCAGCAGCCGCGGUAAUACGUAGGUGGCAAGCGUUGUCCGGAAUUAUUGUGCGUAAAGCGCGCGCAGGCGGAUUGGUCAGUCUGUCUUAAAAGUUCGGGGCUUAACCCCGUGAUGGGAUGGAAACUGCCAAUCUAGAGUAUCGGAGAGGAAAGUGGAAUUCAUAGUGUAGCGGUGAAAUGCGUAGAUAUUAGGAAGAACACCAGUGGCGAAGGCGACUUUCUGGACGAAAACUGACGCUGAGGAGCGAAAGACAGGGGAGCGAACGGG
Molecule: ribosomal RNA, 429 nt
Filed under: bacterium
Lineage: Bacteria
Description: partial 16S ribosomal RNA
Rfam family: Bacterial small subunit ribosomal RNA
Source: RNAcentral